This 669-nucleotide long non-coding RNA is filed under the name Oryctolagus cuniculus (rabbit). RNAcentral's name for it is "lncRNA (ENSOCUG00000032562.1)". The record is from RNAcentral. Lineage: Eukaryota; Metazoa; Chordata; Mammalia; Lagomorpha; Leporidae.
AUGCAGGCCUGGAGCACUUUGAAGACCCCUCACCCCUCUUUCUUCCAUAUCCUCUUUUCCACUAUUCAUUCAAGACAGGACAAAUCCGGGGUGGAUGGCAACGACCUGUGGCCGGGGGUACCAAAAAUGAAAGAGACACGGAGGACCCUUGGCUUCAAAGUGGCGGAGAAGCGACCGCGAGGAGGCUUCGUUCGGUUGAUCGAUGAAGGCGUCAGGCCGGCCCACCAUAAAGUCAAUGCAAUCGAUGCGGACGUCCACGACCGCUCGAAACAGAGACCUCUCCCCGUUGCUGCGCGCUCGCCGAGUUCCACGCAACAGGACUUGGAAUCCGACACCCGCAACGUCGCGCGCCGACUCGCUCUCCUGAGCUCCAGGUUCCACACCUGCGAAAUGGGUUUGCUACACCGUGCGGUUUAUUGGAGGCGACGUUUGGGAGAUCCUCACGAGAAGGACCGCGUUUUUCUACACUCGUUAAAUGCAGCAAUCAGAGCGGGUGGGCUCCCCAUUUCCUGGACAGGGAAACAGAGUCACGGGGCGGGGAGUCGUACCGCUCCUCUCCGAGGGAGCUGGGGAUCAACCAGGGCCUGCCCAGCUCUUUGUCUUGGCAGGAGGCGCGCACAGUGGGGAUUCCUUUUCUGCACUGCCCUUUUGGGGAAGAAAUUCCAAUAA